Molecule: long non-coding RNA, 228 nt
Filed under: Mytilus galloprovincialis (Mediterranean mussel)
Lineage: Eukaryota; Metazoa; Mollusca; Bivalvia; Mytilida; Mytilidae
Source: RNAcentral
GCCGCUGAUAAAUAUGAUAGAUUCUUCUGCGUACUGAAGAUUAGCACACGCCCUACUGUGUUGUCGUCUGUUAGUUGAUUAUUGGUCCAAGUAAUUAUCUUUUUAGAGUAUACUUUUAUUCCACAUCUUAAGAUUAUACUUGGUUAUAAUAUUAUUUGUAUCAUGAUUUAUUGGUACAGCAGACAAUUUUUUAAGGUUACAAAUUGAUUUUUUUUAAAUAAAUCUAAC